UGCUGGUGCUGGUGCUGGUGCUGGGGCAGCAUCCCACUCAUUAGGGAAUUCACCUUGAUCUGGAUAUAAGUUGGCAGCAGGAACAGCUGCAAUAGGUGGUGGAGUAGCUUCAGCAGCCCACUGGCCAUCAGUAAUUUGGGCACCCCAAUCAGUAGCAAGUCCAUAAUCAGCAGGAGGAAGUGCAUAAUCAGCAACUGGCACUGCUUCCUCCUCUUCCUGUUGCUUGGUCUCCUCAGGUUCUCUGUAGAAGAACAAGUCCACCAUAACAUCCCACUUGUGCCCCUGAGGAAUAGUGCCACGCAUCUGCAGAACCAUUCUUGCCAACAGCCAAAACAGACAUCCAAUACUGUGCUUCCCUUUGUUAUUAGCAGGAAUGCCAAUAUCCACAUACCGCAUGGGAGAAUCAGUAUCACAGAACGCAAUAGUUGGAAUGUUUCCAAGGGAAGAUUCCUUAAUAGGCUGGUGAUCUGUCCUAGGAUCAGUGAGAAUCAAGAGACGAGGCUCACUGAAAGAUGUUUGGAGCUGGUUAGUGAAUGUACCAGGAGUGUGCCUCCCAGCAAUAGCAUGGGCACCAGUGUACUGGGCAAACUUGAGUACAGCUCUUUGACCAUAAGGCCGUGCAGACUGGACAAUAAUAUCUUGUGGGUUCUCAAUGGCCACAAUAACCCUGGCAGCCAGUUGAAGUUUUUCCCAUGUCCUUCCAAGAUUGAUAAUAUAAAUUCCAUCAUUGCGGCGCUUGAAAACAUAGCGUUCCAUCUGGAAGUCGCAGUUCUUAGUGCCGAGGUGAACUUCGGCUGCCAACAUCAUCUGUAUAUCCAAUUCCUUCUGGGACAGAGCCCGUGUUGGUGGUGCUACUGUGCCAGUCGCCAUGGCCGCGCAGCGCGAGAGCUUAAGGGAAAGGAAGGAGGGAGAGAAAGGAGUAAGAGAUGCUAGGAUUUCUAUAACCUAGCGAUUGGAAAAACUAGGGUUUUUAAGGCCCACUGAAAUUAUGGGCCACUGCAAUUUGGGAAUGCCUUUUAUUUAAUAUUUUUUAUUAAUUUAAUUAAUAUAUUUAAAAUAAUAUUUUUUCACAAUAAUAAUUAAAAUAAUAACAUUGAACAAAUUUAAAAUAUUAUGCACCACGUCAUUUAUUUAAUAUUAGUUAUUUUUUUGAAAUCAAACAGUUUCCUCUACAUUAAUACUAAGAGAAAUAUAAAUAAUAAAUAUUUUAAACUAAUGUCUUAACAAAAUUUUUUAAAAAAUAAUACUAUAUUAGAUGAAAUUCUAAUUUUAUUUGAACUUUUAAUUACUUUAAAUCCAAUUCAGUAUAAGUUUAAUAUGUUGAAUUCUCAUAGGAAACAAGAAUAAAAAUGCAAAUGCACAGAAUAGAGCUACAUUUCAUUCCAACCACCAUCAUCCACAAUCUACGUUGCCAAACAAAUUUGGUCCCUUCAGAUACACGAAACUCCAGUUAGCCAUAAAAUCCUAAACCCAACAAGAAAUGCACAGGUAGAGCCCUCAGUCUCCCUCUUCAAGAGACAGCAACCUCAACUUUUUUGGCCUUGGGUGGUGGAGGAUGCUUCUCAACAACAACUGUUAGAACCCCAUUUUCGCAUUUAGCAGUAAUGGCAGACACAUUGGCAUUUUCAGGUAACCGGAACUUCCUCAGCAGCUUCUGAGGUGCCCUCCUCUCAAGCCUUAUGUACUUGCAGCCUUCCUCCUCACCCUCUUCGCGUUUCCUCUUCCCUCCACUUUUAAUCACCAGCGUGUUCUGAUCUUCAACAGUCACCUAUAGUAACCAAAUGCACCGAACAUUAGUAACAGAGGAUCAUAAUUCAUACUUUCAGAAGAAUCAACAAUCCCAAUUGCAAUAACAGAAAACAGGGGAGUUGUGAUUGUACCUGAAUAUCAGACUUGCACAAUCCAGGCACAUCCAUGUAGAAAAUGUACUCUUUAGGGCUGUCCAAGAUGUCCGUAGCAAUGUUACCCGCACCGUUGUUCUCGUUCGUAUCAUUUGAACGCGAAUGGAUCAUGAACUUCUCGAUGCUCUCAGGGAUAUUGAACAAAUGGCUCAUUGCAUCAAACAAAUUCGAGUCUGCUAUUCGGCUCAUCUUCUCAAAUUAUCAAUUAGCUCGACAACUCUGUCAAAAACAAAUGAUCGUAUUUAGAUGCAUUUAGCAUCCAAUUCAUUUACUAUAGGCAUAAUAUAGAGAUAGAAUUUGGGCUCAGGUACUUGCAAAUUAACAGCCUAUUCUCUGUUUGUUUCCAGAGAAAAUUUGCGACGUCAAAUGACAAAGAGUUCAAGCUUAAACAUUAAUUUUUGCCUCAUAACUAAACUACUAUGCCUGCUUCGCAGGAAAACCUAGAGAAGUGAAAGAAAAUUUAUGGAUUAACUUUCAUAAGAGGAAAGUGCGAUGCAAAUCAUACCUAUAAAAGGAGUUAGUUCCUUGAAAAAAUUGAUGAAAAAACAAGAGAAAUUGCGAGAAAAUUCGUGCGCAGGAAGAUAACACAGGAGCUGUAGUUAAUUGCUUGAUAGUGAGAAAGUGCGGGGAUCAAUAUAUAAUGGGAGACGAAGGAGAAAUCGAGAGCGGUCAGAAGAAGAGGCGGGAUCACUCCACAAUACUUGCGAUUCUU
RNAcentral lists this unclassified non-coding RNA (2613 nucleotides) under Hevea brasiliensis (rubber tree). Lineage: Eukaryota; Viridiplantae; Streptophyta; Magnoliopsida; Malpighiales; Euphorbiaceae. The record is from RNAcentral.